AGGUCCAGAAUGAAUCAGCUGGGAGGAAGAAUAGAACAGUAGUGAAUGGGAGUAGAAGGAGGAAGAUGACCUAAGGGACCCGUAUGUGAGGCUGUAAUGGGGAUGAGAAACAUGGAAUUAACUGUUCUCCGGAUGUGAAAUGAGACUUCCAGUUCUUCGAGCAUUUUAACUGUCUCUGCACAGCUUCCUGGGAGAUUUCAUUCCUCCCAUCGUGGAAACUGUGUGGGCAGGAAGUGAGGAGGCAACAAGGGCUGUGGGUUAAUGCUUGGGAUGAAAGGAAAAAGAACACCUUUACAAUGGAGAGACCCCGGAGUUCCCAUCUUGACCAUGUGAUGAAAAGUAGUCUCACUACGAGUGGACCACAUGACAUCGUAUCCCUCCUGAUGAAGCA
This 391-nucleotide long non-coding RNA is filed under the name Equus caballus (horse). RNAcentral's name for it is "lncRNA (ENSECAG00000050285.1)". The record is from RNAcentral. Lineage: Eukaryota; Metazoa; Chordata; Mammalia; Perissodactyla; Equidae.